Molecule: ribosomal RNA, 443 nt
Filed under: uncultured bacterium
Lineage: Bacteria
Description: partial 16S ribosomal RNA
Rfam family: Bacterial small subunit ribosomal RNA
Source: RNAcentral
CCUACGGGGGGCAGCAGUGGGGAAUAUUGGGCAAUGGGCGCAAGCCUGACCCAGCAACGCCGCGUGAAGGAAGAAGGCUUUCGGGUUGUAAACUUCCUUUAUCAGGGACGAAGCAAGUGACGGUACCUGAUGAAUAAGCCACGGCUAACUACGUGCCAGCAGCCGCGGUAAUACGUAGGAGGCAAGCGUUAUCCGGAUUUACUGGGUGUAAAGGGUGUGUAGGCGGGAGUGCAAGUCAGAUGUGAAAACUAUGGGCUCAACCCAUAGACUGCAUUUGAAACUGUACUUCUUGAGUACCGGAGAGGUCAUCGGAAUUCCCUGUGUAGCGGUGAAAUGCGUAGAUAUAAGGAAGAACACCAGUGGCGAAGGCGGAUGACUGGACGUCAACUGACGGUGAGGCGCGAAAGCGUGGGGAGCAAACAGGAUUAGAUACCCUAGUAGUC